AGCAGCCGCGGUAAUUCCAGCUCCAAUAGCGUAUAUUAAAGUUGUUGCAGUUAAAAAGCUCGUAGUUGAAUUUCGGGGUCAGUAGGUCGGUCGUGCCACUGGUAUGAACUGGUCUCACUGAUUCCUCCCUCUUGUAGAACCGUGAUGCCAUUAAUUUGGUGUUGCGGGGAAACAGGACUGUUACUUUGAAAAAAUUAGAGUGUUUAAAGCAAGCUAACGCUUGAAUACAUUAGCAUGGAAUAAUGAAAUAGGACGUCGAUCUUAUUUUGUUGGUUUCUAGGGUUGACGUAAUGAUUAAUAGGGAUAGUUGGGGGCAUUAGUAUUCAAUUGUCAGAGGUGAAAUUCUUGGAUUUAUUGAAGACUAACUACUGCGAAAGCAUUUGCCAAGGAUGUUUUCAUUAAUCAAGAACGAAAGUUAGGGGAUCGAAGACGAUCAGAUACCGUCGUAGUCUUAACCAUAAACUAUGCCGACUAGGGAUCGGAUGAUGUUAAUUUUUUAAUGACUCAUUCGGCGCCUUACG
This 521-nucleotide ribosomal RNA is filed under the name uncultured Glomus. RNAcentral describes it as "SSU rRNA". It matches the Rfam family "Eukaryotic small subunit ribosomal RNA", at positions 569 to 1092 of the family's 1831-position model. The record is from RNAcentral. Lineage: Eukaryota; Fungi; Glomeromycota; Glomeromycetes; Glomerales; Glomeraceae.